UCACAAGCAAGAUAAUUCAAAAUCCAUAAAUAAACAAGCUACAGACAAAAUAAAAUUCAAUAUCCAUAAAGAUCCGACAAGCAAGAUGGAAUUCAAUAUCCCAGUUCAAAAUUAAUGAUUUAGUACACGAUUUGAGACAAAAAUAUUUGGCCAAGUGCUAAAGUGUGACUUUGCCAAGUCCAUCGGAGGCCUCUCUCUCUCACCCAAUCAUAAGCAGCUGAAUCACAUGCUUUCAACUUCUCCAUCUCCUUGUUAAAAUCCGCAAUUCUAGUCGCUGAUGCAGCUCUCCAAAGAGAGUCUUUCAAGUGCAGUCCAAAGAGAGUCUUUCAAGUGCAUUAUUUCUUGCAUUGAAGUAACAGGCCACUCAGAAUUACUCCUAAGGUGGUGUUGAUAUUUAUUUGCAAGAAAUUUGGAAGUGCAAUGGUGAGAACUUGGAGCUCUAAAACAUGAAUGCUCUUUAUUUAUUGACUUUACCUAAAAGGUUUUGUCAAUUUUAGAUAUAAAAGCAGCAUAAAUAAUCCAUCCACACUCACAAAUGGCAUAGGUCUCCCUUGCUUGUUUGAGUACCUUCUCACUGCCUCCCUAAAGUCUGAAGUUGUUUUAAAACACAAUCCCACCUCAAAUUCAAAAUCCGAAUCAUCUGCAUCAUCUCGAUAUACAUGAUACUUUGAAGUUCUGACUUUUGAAGAUGACUCACUUCCACUUAAAGACCGCCUAAAAUUUCCAGCAGCUUGAAUUCCAACAAUUUGCUUGCUCUUGUCAAGAACUCGUGAGGGCUCAUCUGUAGUGCCAACUCAUUCAAUCUCUUUAUCAAUAUUCUCAUCGAACAACUUAUCAUCAUAUUCAAAGUCACUGUCUUUGAAGCCAUCACUAAAUGUAGAAUCGUUGUCGUCGGUUUCUUCUUCACUACUUUCUUCAUUUUCUCCACUUUCACUAUCAGCUUCAACCAUAUCAAGUUCAUCAUGUUCUUGGUCAUUCCAAUUCUCAACAUCAUCCAUAUUCUGAAAAUCUGGUAUUUCCAAAUUGUUAUUAGCUUAUGUCUCUAUGUAACAUCACAAUAGACAAAAUAAAUAGAAUUACUAAUUAUUGUUUA
RNAcentral lists this long non-coding RNA (1093 nucleotides) under Erythranthe guttata (spotted monkey flower). Its description in RNAcentral is "long non-coding RNA (EGUT_LNC002769)". The record is from RNAcentral. Lineage: Eukaryota; Viridiplantae; Streptophyta; Magnoliopsida; Lamiales; Phrymaceae.